CCCUUAGAUGUUCUGGGCCGCACGCGUGCUACACUGAGUGGAUCAGCGGGUCAGGUUGCGCGAAAGCGUUUCCUAAUCUUUAAAUCCGCUCGUGAUGGGGAUUGACGGUUGCAAUUUUCUGUCAUGAACGAGGAAUUCCUCGUAAGCGCGAGUCACCAACUCGUGUUGAAUACGUCUCUGCCCUUUGUACACACCGCCCGUCGCUACUACUGAUUGAACUGGUUUUUGAAGUGUAGAGAUUGGCAGGCAUGUUUACGUGCAUUGCAAAGAACCACUCUGAAAAAAUCGUUCGAGAAGAAGUAAAAGUCGUAACA
This 314-nucleotide ribosomal RNA is filed under the name uncultured eukaryote. RNAcentral describes it as "partial 18S ribosomal RNA". It matches the Rfam family "Eukaryotic small subunit ribosomal RNA", at positions 1470 to 1796 of the family's 1831-position model. The record is from RNAcentral.